AAGAUGCAGCAUGCAACAAGAAGGUCAGUAUCAUGAUUUUUAAUUCUAGUUUUUUUAAGAGUCUUAACUGUCUGAGUUGCUCAUGGCUUCAUGACUAAGAUGGCAAUGAGUUGGUUGUUGGAUCCAUAUGAAAAAAAAUCAUGUUCCAAUAAGUGAUUUUCAUAUUAGUCUAUUUGAGCUUGGAUUUCUUUGGUAACCUUAGAUCCAUCUUUUGCUGUGUUGAUUGAGUUGUUCAAAAUGGUUGAAUAAACACUUCAUUUCAUUACUAAUCUAACCAUUCAUGUUAGUUGUGCCAUUU
This 298-nucleotide unclassified non-coding RNA is filed under the name Hevea brasiliensis (rubber tree). The record is from RNAcentral. Lineage: Eukaryota; Viridiplantae; Streptophyta; Magnoliopsida; Malpighiales; Euphorbiaceae.